Molecule: unclassified non-coding RNA, 332 nt
Filed under: soil metagenome
Description: partial contains 5.8S ribosomal RNA, internal transcribed spacer 2, and large subunit ribosomal RNA
Rfam family: 5.8S ribosomal RNA (bases 1-120)
Source: RNAcentral
GAUGAAGAACGUAGCAAAAUGCGAUAAGUAAUGUGAAUUGCAGAAUUCAGUGAAUCAUCGAAUCUUUGAACGCACAUUGCGCCCGCCAGUAUUCUGGCGGGCAUGCCUGUUCGAGCGUCAUUUCAACCCUCAAGCACAGCUUGGUGUUGGGACUCGCGUUAAUUCGCGUUCCUCAAAUUGAUUGGCGGUCACGUCGAGCUUCCAUAGCGUAGUAGUAAAACCCUCGUUACUGGUAAUCGUCGCGGCCACGCCGUUAAACCCCAACUUCUGAAUGUUGACCUCGGAUCAGGUAGGAAUACCCGCUGAACUCAAGCAUAUCAAUAAGCGGAGGA